UACGUAGGUGGCAAGCGUUGUCCGGAUUUAUUGGGCGUAAAGGGAGCGCAGGUGGUUUCUUAAGUCUGAUGUGAAAGCCCACGGCUUAACCGUGGAGGGUCAUUGGAAACUGGUCGACUUGAGUGCAGAAGAGGGAAGUGGAAUUCCAUGUGUAGCGGUGAAAUGCGUAGAGAUAUGGAGGAACACCAGUGGCGAAGGCGGCUUCCUGGUCUGUAACUGACACUGAGGCGCGAAAGCGCGGGGAGCAAACAGGAUUAGAUACCCUGGUA
Molecule: ribosomal RNA, 269 nt
Filed under: uncultured prokaryote
Description: partial 16S ribosomal RNA
Rfam family: Bacterial small subunit ribosomal RNA
Source: RNAcentral